UACGGAGGUGGCAAGCGUUAUUCGGAUUUACUGGGCGUAAAGCGCACGCAGGCGGCAUGGUAAGUCAAAGGUGAAAGCCCUCGGCUCAACCGAGGAACUGCCUUUGAAACUGCUUUGCUUGAGUCCGGGAGGGGGGAGCGGAAUUCCCAGUGUAGCGGUGAAAUGCGUAGAUACUGGGAGGAACACCGGUGGCGAAGGCGGCCCCCUGGACCGGUACUGACGCUGAGGUGCGAAAGCGUGGGUAGCAAACAGG
Molecule: ribosomal RNA, 253 nt
Filed under: uncultured bacterium
Lineage: Bacteria
Description: partial 16S ribosomal RNA
Rfam family: Bacterial small subunit ribosomal RNA
Source: RNAcentral